CGUGUAGGCGGUUUGGUAAGUUGGAUGUGAAAGCUCCAGGCUCAACCUGGAGAGGUCAUUCAAAACUGCCAGACUAGAGGACGGUAGAGGGAGGUGGAAUUCCGGGUGUAGCGGUGAAAUGCGUAGAUACCCGGAGGAACACCAGUGGCGAAGGCGGCCUCCUGGGCCGUGCCUGACGCUCAGACGCGAAAGCUAGGGGAGCGAACG
RNAcentral lists this ribosomal RNA (207 nucleotides) under uncultured bacterium. RNAcentral describes it as "partial 16S ribosomal RNA". It matches the Rfam family "Bacterial small subunit ribosomal RNA", at positions 568 to 774 of the family's 1533-position model. The record is from RNAcentral.